Molecule: ribosomal RNA, 253 nt
Filed under: uncultured bacterium
Lineage: Bacteria
Description: partial 16S ribosomal RNA
Rfam family: Bacterial small subunit ribosomal RNA
Source: RNAcentral
UACGUAGGUGGCAAGCGUUAUCCGGAAUUAUUGGGCGUAAAGCGCGCGCAGGUGGUUUCUUAAGUCUGAUGUGAAAGCCCACGGCUCAACCGUGGAGGGUCAUUGGAAACUGGGAGACUUGAGUGCAGAAGAGGAAAGUGGAAUUCCAUGUGUAGCGGUGAAAUGCGUAGAGAUAUGGAGGAACACCAGUGGCGAAGGCGACUUUCUGGUCUGUAACUGACACUGAGGCGCGAAAGCCAGGGGAGCGAACGGG